Molecule: ribosomal RNA, 429 nt
Filed under: uncultured bacterium
Lineage: Bacteria
Description: bacterial SSU rRNA
Rfam family: Bacterial small subunit ribosomal RNA
Source: RNAcentral
UAGUCCACGCCGUAAACGAUGUGCACUAGGCUUGGGGGGAUUGACCCCUUCUGAGCCGUAGCUAACGCGUUAAGUGCACCGCCUGGGAAGUACGGUCGCAAGACUAAAACUCAAAGGAAUUGACGGGGCCCGCACAAGCGGUGGAUUAUGUGGUUUAAUUCGACGCAACGCGCAGAACCUUACCUAGGCUUGAAAUCCUCAGAAUCUGGUGGAAACACCGGAGUGCUCUUCGGAGAAUUGAGUGACAGGCGCUGCAUGGCUGUCGUCAGCUCGUGUCGUGAGAUGUUGGGUUAAGUCUCGCAACGAGCGCAACCCCUAUCCUUAGUUGCCAGCAUUAAGUUGGGUACUCUGGGGAAACUGCCGGUGACAAGCCGGAGGAAGGUGGGGAUGACGUCAAGUCCUCAUGGGCCCUUACGGGGCUGGGGCUAC